RNAcentral lists this ribosomal RNA (441 nucleotides) under uncultured bacterium. RNAcentral describes it as "partial 16S ribosomal RNA". It matches the Rfam family "Bacterial small subunit ribosomal RNA", at positions 338 to 795 of the family's 1533-position model. The record is from RNAcentral.
CCUACGGGUGGCAGCAGUGGGGAAUAUUGCACAAUGGGGGAAACCCUGAUGCAGCGACGCCGCGUGAGUGAAGAAGUAUUUCGGUAUGUAAAGCUCUAUCAGCAGGAACGAGACAAGACGGUACCUGACUAAGAAGCCCCGGCUAACUACGUGCCAGCAGCCGCGGUAAUACGUAGGGGGCAAGCGUUAUCCGGAAUCACUGGGUGGAAAGGGAGCGUAGACGGCUGUGCAAGCCUGAAGUGAAAGGCGGGGGCCCAACCCCUGGACUGCUUUGGGAACUGUACGGCUGGAGUGCGGGAGAGGUAAGUGGAAUUCCUAGUGUAGCGGUGAUAUGCGUAGAUAUUAGGAGGAACACCAGUGGCGAAGGCGGCUUACUGGACUGUAACUGACGUUGAGGCUCGAAAGCGUGGGGAGCAAACAGGAUUAGAUACCCCUGUAGUC